UUCACGGAGAGUUUGAUCCUGGCUCAGGACGAACGCUGGCGGCGCGCUUAACACAUGCAAGUCGAGCGAGAACCUGGCCUUCGGGCCAGGGGACAGCGGCGAACGGGUGAGUAUCACGUGAGUAAUCCACCCUCGGUACCGGGAUAGCCCGGGGAAACCCGGAUUAAUACCGGAUGGCCCAUCCGCUUUUCGGAGCGGCUGGAAAAGGUAGCUUCGGCCUCCGACCGGGGACGAGCUCGCGGCGGAUUAGCUUGUUGGCGGGGUAACGGCCCACCAAGGCAACGAUCCGUAGCUGGUCUGAGAGGACGAUCAGCCACACUGGGACUGAGACACGGCCCAGACUCCUACGGGAGGCAGCAGUGGGGAAUCUUGCGCAAUGGGCGAAAGCCUGACGCAGCGUCGCCGCGUGCGGGAAGAAGGCCUUCGGGUUGUAAACCUCUUUCAGGAGGGACGAAGCUACUCGGGUUAAUAGCCCAGAGGGUGACGGUACCUUCAGAAGAAGCCCCGGCUAACUACGUGCCAGCAGCCGCGGUAAUA
This 537-nucleotide ribosomal RNA is filed under the name Actinomycetota bacterium. Its description in RNAcentral is "bacterial SSU rRNA". It matches the Rfam family "Bacterial small subunit ribosomal RNA", at positions 1 to 525 of the family's 1533-position model. Lineage: Bacteria; Bacillati; Actinomycetota. The record is from RNAcentral.